RNAcentral lists this ribosomal RNA (426 nucleotides) under uncultured bacterium. Its description in RNAcentral is "bacterial SSU rRNA". It matches the Rfam family "Bacterial small subunit ribosomal RNA", at positions 356 to 773 of the family's 1533-position model. The record is from RNAcentral.
GGGGAAUCUUCCGCAAUGGACGAAAGUCUGACGGAGCAACGCCGCGUGAGUGAAGAAGGUUUUCGGAUCGUAAAACUCUGUCUUUUAGGGCGAACGUAUUGCUGGUGAACAAUCAGCGAUAGUGACGGUACUAAAGGAGGAAGCCACGGCUAACUACGUGCCAGCAGCCGCGGUAAUACGUAGGUGGCGAGCGUUGUCCGGAAUUAUUGGACGUAAAGCGCGCGUAGGCGGGAUAGUCAGUCUGUUGUAAAAGUGCGGGGCUCAACCCCGUAAGGUCAAUGGAAACUGCUAUUCUUGAGUGCAGGAGAGGAAAGUGGAAUUCCCAGUGUAGCGGUGAAAUGCGUAGAUAUUGGGAGGAACACCAGUGGCGAAGGCGACUUUCUGGACUGUGUCUGACGCUGAGGCGCGAAAGCCAGGGGAGCGAAC